UAGGGAAUUUUUCACAAUGAGCGAAAGCUUGAUGGAGCAAUGCCGCGUGAACGAUGAAGGUCUUUAAGAUUGUAAAGUUCUUUUAUUUGGGAAGAAUGACUUUAGCAGGUAAUGGCUAGAGUUUGACUGUACCAUUUUGAAUAAGUGACGACUAAUUAUGUGCCAGCAGUCGCGGUAAUACAUAGGUCGCAAGCGUUAUCCGGAUUUAUUGGGCGUAAAGCAAGCGCAGGCGGAUUGAAAAGUCUGGUGUUAAAGGCAGCUGCUUAACAGUUGUAUGCAUUGGAAACUAUUAAUCUAGAGUGUGGUAGGGAGUUUUGGAAUUUCAUGUGGAGCGGUGAAAUGCGUAGAUAUAUGAAGGAACACCAGUGGCGAAGGCGAAAACUUAGGCCAUUACUGACGCUUAGGCUUGAAAGUGUGGGGAGCAAAUAGGAUUAGAUACCCUAGUAGUCCACACCGUAAACGAUAGAUACUAGCUGUCGGGGCGAUCCCCUCGGUAGUGAAGUUAACACAUUAAGUAUCUCGCCUGGGUAGUACAUUCGCAAGAAUG
RNAcentral lists this ribosomal RNA (547 nucleotides) under uncultured bacterium. Its description in RNAcentral is "bacterial SSU rRNA". It matches the Rfam family "Bacterial small subunit ribosomal RNA", at positions 355 to 896 of the family's 1533-position model. The record is from RNAcentral.